Molecule: ribosomal RNA, 228 nt
Filed under: uncultured eukaryote
Lineage: Eukaryota
Description: partial small subunit ribosomal RNA
Rfam family: Eukaryotic small subunit ribosomal RNA
Source: RNAcentral
AUAACAGGUCUGUGAUGCCCUUAGAUGUCCUGAACCGCACGCGUGUUACACUGAUGCAUUCAACGAGCUUAUAACCUUGGCCGAGAGGCCUAGGCAAUCUUGUUAACGUGCGUCGUGAUAGGGAUAGAUUAUUGCAAUUAUUAAUCUUGAACGAGGAAUUCCUAGUAAACGCAGAUCAUCAAUCUGCAUUGAUUACGUCCCUGCCCUUUGUACACACCGCCCGUCGCA